Molecule: long non-coding RNA, 6311 nt
Organism: Patella vulgata (common limpet)
Lineage: Eukaryota; Metazoa; Mollusca; Gastropoda; Patellidae
Exons: 10
Source: RefSeq, a predicted model, not a curated record
CACACAGCAAAAAAAGACAGUUCCCAAGAUAAUGUUCAUUUAUCAAACAAAGAGAAGAAAAAGAAUGAGCUUGUUAUCGAUGACAAUUUAACAUAUGAGGGCAGCGAUCAUUUAUUUGGACCCCAAAAUGGAGCAGGAACUGGAAAAGGACAAACAGAUAACAUUCCCAUGUCAUCUAACGUAAAGACAGGAAAUGAUAAUAAAAUGGUUAUCGAUGAUAAUCUCUUGUAUGAAGGAAGUGAUCAUAUUUUUGGAUCUCAAAAUGGAACUGAAUCUGGAAAAAAUGUAGAAAGAGGAAUAUUUGGUCAAACAACUUCAUCUGAAGUUAAAAGAAACAGCACUACAGGUGGCAAAUCAAAGAAAAGUAAAAAACCUCCAAAGAAACCAGAUCCUGAAGCUAUCUACACAGAGGUUAUUAAGAAAAAGACUGGUCAAGAUAAUAAAACUGCUAGUGCGGAGAGAGGAAAUUAUGAAAACUCUGAUGUCAAAGCGAAACCAACUACUCCAAAGAAACCAGCUAUCAACAAGGAGGGAUUGAAUUAUGCUGAUGUUGUUUUCACGAACAAAACACCAGCUAAAGAUGUGAAACCAGUUUAUCAUGAGGCAGUUGAGUAUGCUGGUAUACAGACUGGUGUUCGAGGACCAACUCCACCACCUGUUUCUGAUAGCAGUGAUGAUGAUGACACACCACCACCUGCAGCACCAGCACCUAAACCAAAGACAAAGCCAAUGAAAACUAAGUAGAAUUAAAUUGAAGAAUCUAGAUGGAUCGCACGAUCUACCCAAAUCUCUUUCAAAUCAUGAUCUAACCCAUUAUCUCUUAAAUCAUAAUAUACUCCAAUCUCUUUCAAAUCAUGACCUACCCCCAAUCUCUUUCAAACCACGAUCUACCCCAAUCUCUUUCAGAUGUUAAACUUUUUGAUUGAACAUUCUGUACAUUACUGAAUAGAUCCAAUAAUGACAUCAAAAACAUGAAACACAAUGAAAAUCUUUUAGCUCCUUGACUGUCUUCAAUCAUAAGACAGACAGACUUGAUUUAAUUUUAGUAAAUCUUUCUACCCAGCCAUGUCAUCUCCAUUAAUUGAUGUGGUAUUAUAGUUAAUCAUACUCCCUCAAAUCAACAGAGGAUUGUUUUUCAUUUUCUGUGUAAAACAAUUGUCAGUUGAAUAUCCCCACGUAGAUAAUUAGGAUCUUGAUUGUGUAAUGUAGAGAACAAGCUAUACUGUUCUAAGUUUAUAUGUUUUUGUUGCUAGAUAACUUACAUUUAUUAUCCUUAACUGACUUUUUAUUGUUUUAAGAGUCUUUCAUAGUUUAACUAUUAUCUCUGUCUUAUUAUAUAGGCCUCCGAGCAAAGAAGUACACCGGGGGGGGGGGGCUUCAUACUAAAUCAGAGGCAAAUGUCCACGUGUAACACAAUAACAGGCAUUUAUUGUUUAGUAUUUGUUGACAUCAAGUCACAACGUGAACAUAUUGGUAUGGUAUGGUAAAGUAUAGUAUAGUAUAGUAUUUAUUGACAUCAAGUCACUACAUACAUAUAUUAGUAUAGUAUGGUUUAGUAUAGUGUACAUUUAAUGUGGACGUAUAUUGUUGUCACCGGCAUCUAUCUACCCCUUGUUCGUAGUCAAAUAUCUACAAUACUUGUCUGGCCCGGGGUUUUGUCAGAUACUUAACGAUUUUUACAUUGAUGCUUCAUGUGCACCAACUGGGCUAAUGAAGGUGGGUAUACCAUAUGAUAUGAGGGAAAUUUUGUCAGGAAAGUCAAGUGGGAGUCAGGAAGAACCUUUAUUUUUAGACAUGAAAUUUUGUAAAUGUGAUACAUGGCAUGGCUCAUGGUAGAAGUCUUAUGUAUGUGAUACAGCUCCUGGCUAGUGGUAGAAACUUUGUAAAGUGAUACAGGGCAUAGCUCACGGUAGAAAUCUUGUAAGAUUUGAGUAUAAGGAUGAACCCUAUUUAUUUAAUCUUAAAUUUGACUUUCAAAGCUUUUAAAUAUAUGGAACUUUUUGAAGAAUUGUACAGUAUUAGAUUUGACUUCUAAAGCUUUCGAAUAUGAUAUUUUAGAGCAUGUGAAUAUAUGCUGGAUUGAUUCCCUGUAGAAUUGUGAGGGAUUUACUUAGACCUUUAAGAAUUUGAUUAGCGGGAUUUGUUGACAUUGAAUUAAGGGCUACAAUAAACGACUUUGCUGUUGGUUAUUUAGAACUGGAGUGAGCGACUUUGCUGUUCGUAAGCAAAUUAGGGAGUCGGACAUGCCCUUGUCUAUGUUUUGUUUUAUAAAUAAUUUGUAAUAAUUGUUUCUACUUAGCAGUAUUAUAAAUAUUAUUGUUAUGAUAAUUAAAGUUAAAUAUAUUUUAUUUAUGUUUGAUAUAUGAGCUAAUGUUGUUUAUUCUCAACUGAAUUUUUAUGAACCAAUCUGUAUGGCAUAAGCUAAUGUUGUUUAUUCUCAACUGAAUUUUCAUUUACCAAGUUGUAUGAUAUGAGCUAAUGUUGUUUAUUCUAAUUGAGUUUUCAUAUACCAAUCUGUAUAAUAUGCUUAACUUUGCAUUAAGUAUGACAUGUAUAAUUAACAUAAUAUUUUAUUUUUAAGUAUGACACAGGAUAUAGUUAACUAUUUUAAGUGACCGUCACUAAUUUAGAAUUGACUUUCUCAUUCUUUCUGUUGUUUGUUUUAAUCAGAGAUUUUCAACAAGCCAACCACAAAAUAUUUAUAGAAAUUAAAUUAAUAAAUAGUUAUAUUUUUACAUUCAUUUGUGUACCAUACAAUACCUGGUUUAGCUUGGUUCCUUGUGUAUAUGUAUAUUGAUUUAUAACAGAAGAGAUUUGAUUUAUUAUGUUGCUCCACUUUGUUUUAUUGUCUUUAUAUGAAAUAGUUAGCCCAGUCGAUACAGACAAGUAGGACGUUAAAAUCAUUUUAUUUUAAUUUAUUUAUAUAAAACACUCUGUUAGAGAUUGUAUUCAACAACUGACUGGUUAGAGAUCGUAUUCAACAACUGAGUGGUUAGGAUCAGUAUUCAUCUGUGAUUUGGUGGUGUUUUUAUACUUAUUUUAUUAUCAGAUCUAGCACAGAUCGAUUGAAUACAAUAUGGUAUAAUAUAUACAUUUACUGUUUUAUAUGUAAAAAUAACAAGAUUAAGGUAAAAAAAAAAAGAAGGUACCAGUCACACCCAUAGAAAAUGAAGGUUAACAUUAUAGAAUGAAUAUAUAUUUUUAGAUUUCUUGUUUAUGCAUUACCUUUAUGUUAUUGUUAAUCUUGUAUCCGUUUUUAAAUAUAUAAAUUGAUAAAUAGUUAUUUGAUUUGAUUUGUAUUAUUCAUUUAUAAUACUCAUUACAAUUAUUUUACAUUCCUGGUUUUUUUUUUAAUUUGUAAGUUUAUGAUAUUCUGUGUUCUCAAAAUAUUAUUUUAAGCUGUUUUUGUAGUUUUUGUCCCCCGCCUUUCGAAGAAAGCAGGGGACUAUUAAAAUGGGUUCGUCCGUCUGUCUGUCUGUCUGUCUGUCUGUCUGUCCCGUCUGUCUGUCCCGUCUGUCUAUCCGUCACACUUUUUGGGACACAAUAACUCUCUUCCUAAUUGAGCUAGAAUGUUCAAACUUGGUGUAUGUGUUUAUUAGGUCAAUGCCUUGAUGGAGUUCGAAGAUGAGCAUUUUCCGCUUAGGGUAAGCAGAGAUAAGCAAUUUGAUUGGUUGAUGCUUUGGGACACGAUAACUCUCUUCCUAAUUGGGCUAGAAUGUUCAAACUUGGUGUAUGUGUUGAUUAGGUCAAUGCCUUGAUGGAGUUCGAAGAUGAGCAUUUUCCGCUUAGGGUAAGCAGAGAUAAGCAAUUUGAUUGGUUGAUGCUUUGGGACACGAUAACUUUUAAUUGAGCUAGAAUGUUCAAACUUGGUGUAUGUGUUUAUUAGGUCAAUGCCUUGAUGGAGUUCGAAGAUGAGCAUUUUCCGCUUAGGGUAAGCAGAGAUAAGCAAUUUGAUUGGUUGAUACUUUGGGGCACGAUAACUCUCUUCCUAAUUGAGCUAGAAUGUUCAAACUUGGUGUAUGUGUUGAUUAGGUCAAUGCCUUGAUGGAGUUCGAAGAUGAGCAUUUUCCGCUUAGGGUAAGCAGAGAUAAGCAAUUUGAUUGGUUGAUGCUUUGGGACACGAUAACUUUAUUUUGUUUUGUUUUUUAUUUCGGCGGGGGACAUCAGCCUCACUGUUGGCUUGUUUCCAUUUAUUAAGGUUGAUUAAACAUGGCAUCUACAACUCAACUGAGUGUUGCAGCUAAUAACGCAAAGGGACACGGGUAAUCCCUAUAAUUAUAUGGGCACCCCAUGCAUAGAAUUUAAAACGCCACAGGACUUGAAGCAUGUAAAAUAGUUAAAUUUCCAACUACUGAUUUAACAUUCCAUGGAUAAAUAAAAUAUUUGCAUAAUAAGAUAUUAGAAUUUGUUUUGUUUCUUUUCCUCCACUUAAACGUAUGUUAUACUGCUGACUAUACACAAAUUCAGGCAACCGAAUUCUGGGUAACUGAAGUAGCACGUACAGGUAUUGGGAUUUAAACAUAUUUUAAAGCCACAACACUAACUUUAUAUUGCUCACUUAUUUUUUGUAUUCUGAUAUUUUUGUAGGUUUUUAUAGAUAUCAUUGGUUCCGCUUGAUAUGUUUACAGUUAAUACUGAAUAAUUUUGAUAGCUUGUAUUUAGACUGUUUUAACACUAAAACUGAAUUUUACAGUUGGAACUAGUACUGCUGAUAUUAAUUUAAUCAUUCCUUUUGUAAGCUAUUGUAACUUAUAUCAAUUAUAUUUACUGAUGAAUAAAACUUUCACCUUAGUUAUACAAUGCAUGACCACGUAAAGAAAUUGGAAAAUUAUCUUAUUUAUAUAAUAAUAAUAAUAAAAAUGUACCGUAUAUUUUUGGAGACACAAUUUAAAUAUUUUUUUUAUGUCCUUGGGUCCAGGCUAUGUUACCAGGGACUCAUUUUAUCUAUUGAUUUUCAGCUUACUAAAAUAAUCGUUAAUUAUAUAUUUUUGCUAUUUUAUUAUAAAAUAAUUGUUCAUUAUAUAUUUUUGCUAAUGAAUGUAAUAUUCAUAAAAAUUUUAUUGACAGGUUCUUGUUGGACAUAUAUUUUAACUGUCCUUAAAGAUUCAUUUAAAAACAAAUUAUUUUGUAAAUAUCUGUUACAUUCAUUUGAAACAGGAGGAACAGCUUGUUCCAUUAUCCAUACUUGUUAUGAUAAAAUUAAAAUUUAGGCCACCUCUAAAACAAUUCGGUCAUGAUCAACAAAUUAAUGUAUCAUUAACUGGGCCGGUAUUACAGACCAAUUUAUAAUUAAGAUUGUUUAUUACAGAGAUUUGUAAUUAAGAUUACGCAGUUGUUUUUGUCCCCCGCCUUUCGAAGAAAGCAGGGGACUAUUAAAAUGGGUUUGUCCGUCUGUCUGUCUGUCUGUCUGUCUGUCACACUUUUUGGGACACAAUAACUAUCUUUUUAAUUGAGCUAGAAUGUUCAAACUUGGUGUAGGUGUUUAUUAGGUCAAUACCUUGAUGGAGUUCGAAGAUGAGCAUUUUCCGCUUAGGGUAAGUGGAGAUAAGCAAUUUGACUGAUUGAUGCUUUGGGACACGAUAACUUUAGUUCUAAUUAAGUGAGAGUGAUGAAACUUAGUGUAUAGUUUCAUUACAUCAAUACCGUGACUAAGUUCGAUAAUGAACAUUUUCUGCUGAGGGUAAGCAGAGCGAUAAGCAAUUUCAUUUGGCGAGACUUUGAAACACAAUAACUCUCCUUCUAAUUGAGGUAGAACGUUCAAACUUGGUGUAGGCAUUCAUUAGGCGAAUCCCUUGAUGGAGUUCGAUGAUAAAGAUUGUCUGCUUACGGUAGGCAGAGACAAUCAAUCUGAUUGGUUGAUGUUUUAGGGGCACGAUAACUUUGGUUAUAUGGAGUGAGAGCGAUGAAACUCUGAAUAUAGAUCAUUAUAUCAUUACCUUGACUAAGUUCGAUUGUACGAAUUUUCUGCCUGGGCUAAGGAGCGAUAAGCAAUUUGGAACAUAACAACUCUGCUUUUGAUUGAGGUAGAAUGUUUAUUAAGUGAAUGUCUUGACUGAUUUCAAUGAUUAACAUUUCAAGUUAAAGCUAAACAGAUCUAAUCAAUUUCAUUGGUCGAUGCUUUGUGACAAGAUAAUCUUGAUUCUAUCUGAUAGAUAGUGAUGAAAUUUAGUGUGUAGUUUGAUUGCUCGAUACUUUUGAAAAAAAAUAAAUGUGCGAUUAAUUAAUAUGUGUCAUCUAUUUAUUUUGUGAUUUCGGCGGGGGACAUCAGCCUCACUGUUGGCUUGUUUUCAUAAAUAAAAUUAUUGUUUGUU